AGUACCGGGUCUCAGCUUCGUGAAGCACUUUGCUGACGUAAUAUAUCGGUUGGUGGAUUCGGUUCUCGUUCUCUCGGACGAGCACCGAGCUAACUGCCUCCGGGGAGGUAGCCAAGUAGAGAUACAAUACCUCCCCGACCUCCAGCCUCACAAGUAGGGGCAGAGUAGUCAGGUAUUUCUUCAGUUCCUCGAAGGCUUAUCGGCACUCAUCCGGCCA
RNAcentral lists this long non-coding RNA (217 nucleotides) under Elaeis guineensis (African oil palm). RNAcentral describes it as "long non-coding RNA (EGUI_LNC071085)". Lineage: Eukaryota; Viridiplantae; Streptophyta; Magnoliopsida; Arecales; Arecaceae. The record is from RNAcentral.